CUACUUCAUUUGGCAGUUCCUGGACCUUCCACGUUCUGAAGUGGGGUUCCUACCAAAGCAAUCACCACCUCGUAAAAGGUACAACAGCUGGUCUUUUUAUUGAAGCGAACAGCAAUACCAGCUGGAGAACAUCCCUUUGUUUCUCCUAGAUGAGCAGGAAGCAUGUGGGGGGGUUGAAAGAAGGCAGAGAGAUCAAUAAAACCCUCCUGGCUGUAAAAAAAGGAGCUGUUUCCAGGGCAACAAGGGAGGAUGAAAUGUUAUGGAUUUGAAGGAGACAGCAUUUGACUAAUACAAAGAAAGAGAGUCUGUGGAAUUUCGACAUGAGGGAACGUCUCAUGCUAGAGUUUCUCCAAGGAUGGCCAUCACUUCUCGGGAGCGCAGGUGGCCGGAGCCCAAGGCUGGGGAAGAGUGAAAUUUUUUCAGUGAGAUGGGAGCUGGGGCCUCCUCCGUACUCCUCCUGGAGAAGACAGAAGAACUAGGUCAUGUGCAAAUUUUAAAUCCAGGGACAGGGUGAUUAUAGAAACAUAUGUUGAGAUGAAGCCUCCAGAAGGCUGAGUCCCCGAGUCACCACCAGGAGCAGUGCCUCUUGCUGAAUGGAACAGUCAUAAUAGUAAGAAGUACACUUGUGCUGUGUUGAGUGCCUGAAUACGAUCCAGCCCAUCCAGAUUGACCGUGUUCAUAAAAGGGUUUAAUUUUUGGCACGUGAGACGUGUGACUCAGCACUGGGUGAGCACUUGAGGCUUGAAAUUGGAGAAAGGAGAAGGAAAACCGAGUGGACUUCAUCUUCGGGUAAGGUAGUCAUAUACCAAGUCUCCUCCCUAUGGGGGACCUCGGUGACAG
This is a non-coding RNA of Vicugna pacos (alpaca), 840 nucleotides long. The record is from RefSeq and is a predicted model, not a curated record. NCBI's taxonomy places the organism in Eukaryota, Metazoa, Chordata, Mammalia, Artiodactyla, Camelidae.